UACGGAGGGUGCAAGCGUUGUCCGGAUUUAUUGGGUUUAAAGGGUACGUAGGUGGUCGUGUAAGUCAGUGGUGAAAGCUCAUAGCUCAACUAUGAGACUGCCAUUGAAACUGCAUAACUAGAGUAUUUUAGGGGCAAGUGGAAUUAGUGGUGUAGGGGUGAAAUCCGUAGAUACCACUAGGAACACCAGAGGCGAAAGCGGCUUGCUAUAAAUAUACUGACACUAAAGUACGAAAGCGUGGGGAGCGAACAGG
RNAcentral lists this ribosomal RNA (253 nucleotides) under uncultured bacterium. RNAcentral's name for it is "partial 16S ribosomal RNA". It matches the Rfam family "Bacterial small subunit ribosomal RNA", at positions 524 to 776 of the family's 1533-position model. The record is from RNAcentral.